GGAGCUACCAGUUACAGAUCCAUCCUCUUUAAUUUCUUCUUAAAUCUUUCUUCCACGAUUCACCAUGAAUGAGAGCUUUAGUCAUCCAAAGCGGUGGAAUCUAUUUUUAAAAAUGUAAGCUUUCUUUCUAUGAGAACCAUCCACUAUUCGGUUUACACAAACCAAUAUACUUACUUCCUAACACAACAAUCUUUUUGUCUGACUUGACGACCAAAUGAUGGUCCUCCACCGUUCAUGUGAGGGUGCUCUGUUUCUCGGAGGCCAGAAACGUCCGAUGCGGUGGCAAAUUCAUAGGAGUGGAUAUUCUGCUUCUGGAUUCACAGUGGAAGCGGCCAAUGUGUUAUUGAAGAAUGUUAAACUUCGACGCGUAUAUCGUAUUCGAGUGUACUAAGCAUAAUAUUGGUACGGUGCAAAGACAGCAUAGGCGACAAACAGACAAACGCAUGGCUUAGAACGGAGUGGACAGUUUUCAAGAUCAGAC
Long non-coding RNA from Brassica oleracea var. oleracea, 481 nucleotides. RefSeq lists it as uncharacterized. Lineage: Eukaryota; Viridiplantae; Streptophyta; Magnoliopsida; Brassicales; Brassicaceae. The transcript is spliced from 3 exons. The record is from RefSeq and is a predicted model, not a curated record.